RNAcentral lists this ribosomal RNA (446 nucleotides) under uncultured bacterium. Its description in RNAcentral is "partial 16S ribosomal RNA". It matches the Rfam family "Bacterial small subunit ribosomal RNA", at positions 338 to 795 of the family's 1533-position model. The record is from RNAcentral.
CCUACGGGAGGCAGCAGUCGAGAAUCAUUCACAAUGGGGGAAACCCUGAUGGUGCGACGCCGCGUGGGGGAAUGAAGGUCUUCGGAUUGUAAACCCCUGUCAUGUGGGAGCAAAUUAAAAAGAUAGUACCACAAGAGGAAGAGACGGCUAACUCUGUUCCAGCAGCCGCGGUAAUACAGAGGUCUCAAGCGUUGUUCGGAAUCACUGGGCGUAAAGCGUGCGUAGGCUGUUUCGUAAGUCGUGUGUGAAAGGCGCGGGCUCAACCCGCGGACGGCACAUGAUACUGCGAGACUAGAGUAAGGGAGGGGGAACCGGAAUGCUCGGUGUAGCAGUGAAAUGCGUAGAUAUCGAGAGGAACACUCGUGGCGAAGGCGGGUUCCUGGACAUUAACUGACGCUGAGGCACGAAGGCCAGGGGAGCGAAAGGGAUUAGAUACCCUAGUAGUC